Molossus molossus (Pallas's mastiff bat) is the source of this 106-nucleotide small nuclear RNA. The record is from RefSeq and is a predicted model, not a curated record. NCBI's taxonomy places the organism in Eukaryota, Metazoa, Chordata, Mammalia, Chiroptera, Molossidae.
GUGCUCACUUCAGCAGCACAUGUACUAAAACGGAACGAUCCAGAGAAGAUGAGCACGGCCCCCGCGCCAGGAUGGCACGCGGAUUCGUGAAGCGUUCCACACGUAU